This 492-nucleotide ribosomal RNA is filed under the name uncultured bacterium. Its description in RNAcentral is "partial 16S ribosomal RNA". It matches the Rfam family "Bacterial small subunit ribosomal RNA", at positions 28 to 507 of the family's 1533-position model. The record is from RNAcentral.
GACGAACGCUGGCGGCGUGCUUAACACAUGCAAGUCGAACGGAAAGGCCUGCUUUCCCUUGUGGAUUGCGGGUACUCGAGUGGCGAACGGGUGAGUAACACGUGAGUGAUCUGCCCCCAACUUGGGUAUAAGCCUGGGAAACUGGGUCUAAUUCCCGAUAGGACUGCAGGGUGGUGCCUGUGGUGGAAAACGAUUUUCUAGUGGGUGGGGAUGAGCUCGCGGCCUAUCAGCUGGUUGGUGGGGUAAUGGCCUACCAAGGCGGCGACGGGUAGCCGGCCUGAGCGGGUGGACGGCCACAUUGGGACUGAGCUCAGGCCCAGACUACUCCGGGAGGCAGAAGUGGGGAAUAUUGGACAAUGGGCGGAAGACUGAUGCAGCGACGCCGCGUGGGGGAUGACGGCCUUCGGGUUGUAAACUCCUUUCGACCGAGGAAGCCACCUGGUUGGAAGGGUGGUGACGGUAGUGGUAGAAGAAGCACCGGCUAACUACGUG